AGUGAACGCUGGCGGUAGGCCUAACACAUUCAAGUCGAACGGCAGCACAGGAGAGCUUGCUCUCUGGGUGGCGAGUGGCGGACGGGUGAGGAAUACAUCGGAAUCUACUCUGUCGUGGGGGAUAACGUAGGGAAACUUACGCUAAUACCGCAUACGACCUACGGGUGAAAGCAGGGGACCUUCGGGCCUUGCGCGAUUGAAUGAGCCGAUGUCGGAUUAGCUAGUUGGCGGGGUAAAGGCCCACCAAGGCGACGAUCCGUAGCUGGUCUGAGAGGAUGAUCAGCCACACUGAACCUGAGACACGGUCCAGACUCCUACGGGAGGCAGCAGUGGGGAAUAUUGGACAAUGGGCGCAAGCCUGAUUCAGCCAUACCGCGUGGGUGAAGAAGGCCUUCGGGUUGUAAAGCCCUUUUGUUGGGAAAGAAAUCCAGCUGGCUAAUACCCGGUUGGGAUGACGGUACCCAAAGAAUAAGCACCGGCUAACUUCGUGCCAGCCGCCGCAGUAA
This 506-nucleotide ribosomal RNA is filed under the name uncultured bacterium. RNAcentral's name for it is "partial 16S ribosomal RNA". It matches the Rfam family "Bacterial small subunit ribosomal RNA", at positions 29 to 523 of the family's 1533-position model. The record is from RNAcentral.